AACUUUCGACAAUGGAUCUCUUGGCUCUCGCAUCGAUGAAGAACGCAGCAAAAUGCGAUAAGUAAUGUGAAUUGCAGAAUUCAGUGAAUCAUCGAAUCUUUGAACGCACCUUGCGCUCCUUGGUAUUCCGAGGAGCACGCCUGUUCGAGUGUCGUGAAAUUCUCAAGCUGUGAUGCUUUUUUGUGAAGCAACUUAGCUUGGUAUUGGGCUUUGCCGUUGUCCCCUUCAUUUGGGACGGACGGCUGGCCUUAAAGGCAUUAGCUUUGAUCCCUGGUGUGGAUUGGUUCUACUCAGCGAGAUAAUAAUCUAACCGCUGAGGACAUCUUUUGGGAUGGCCAGUUCUCCUUGGGGUUGCUCUCUAAUCUGGAUUGCAAGAUUUCGCGAAUCUUUGCUCCACUUUCAAUUUUGACCUCGAAUCAGGUGGGACUACCCGCUGAACUUAAGCAUAUCAAUAAGCGGAGGCU
This 464-nucleotide unclassified non-coding RNA is filed under the name uncultured Clavulina. RNAcentral describes it as "sequence contains ITS2". The stretch from base 1 to 154 matches the Rfam family "5.8S ribosomal RNA". The record is from RNAcentral. Lineage: Eukaryota; Fungi; Basidiomycota; Agaricomycetes; Cantharellales; Hydnaceae.